GAUAUGAGCUGUCCAUCCCCUCGCAGUCCUCCUCACUCCCCGGACCUGUGAUCAUCUCCUCCACCUAACCUCGAUGUCCGCCACGUCUUCUCCGCCGGCGCCGGAAGCUCAGACUCUGAUUCCAUGCCUCCCUGACGACGUCGCUGUGAGCAUCCUCGCCCGGGUCCCGAGGUCUCAACACCCGGUCCUCUGCCUAGUCUCCAGAGCCUUCAGAUCCCUCCUCUCCUCCGCCCUCUUCGCCACCACCCGCCGCCUCCUCAGCCCCACCGAGCCCUCCCUCUACCUCACCCUUCGCUCCAGCUCCACCUCCUCCCUCCUCUGCUUCACCCUUCUCCGCCGGCGCCUCGUCCCCAUCUCCCCGGUUCCAUCCCCCUACAUCGGGUCCGCUUACGCCGUCCUCGGUCCAGAGCUCUACGUCCUCGGAGGGUCCCACAACGACGUGGCCUCCGCUCGGGUCUGGGUCCUUGACUGCCGGUUUAACACCUGGCGCCCCGGCCCAUCCAUGCGGGUCCCCCGUGAAUUCGCCGCUGCGGGUGUGGUCGACGGUAAGCUCUACGUGAUGGGUGGUUGCGUGGCAGACACAUGGGCUCGCGCCGCCAAUUGGGCUGAGGCCCUCGACCCGAAGACUGGCUCGUGGGCAGCGGUACCGAGCCCGGACGAGGUGAGGGAAAAGUGGAUGCACGCGAGCGCGGUGAUCGAUGGAAAACUGUACGCAAUGGCCGAUCGGGGUGGGGUCGUGUAUGAUUCGAGGAGGGAGGUGUGGUCCCCGGUGGAAAAUGAGCUCGACAAUGGCUGGAGAGGGAGAGCUUGCGUGGUUGAUGGAAUUUUGUAUUGCUACGACUACUUGGGCAAGAUUCGGGGGUUCGACUGGGGAGAAGGGCUUUGGAAGGAGCUAAAGGGGGUCGAGAAGGGCCUCCCGAGGUUCCUUUGCGGCGCGACAAUGGCCAAUAUGGGUGGUAAUUUGAUUGUGGUUUGGGAAGGGAAGUCAGCCGUCGGAAAUGGGAAGGAGAUGGAGGUCUGGUGUGCGGAGAUUGAGGUGAGGAAGGAUUGCAAUGGGGAGCUGGUGGGUGAGAUUCGUUGGUCGGAGUCGGUUUUAACGGUUCCUGCCCGGUCCUCAAUUGUCCACUGUGUGGCAGUCACAUUGUGACGGUUCUUGCUGAUUCCUUUAUCCGAUACAUUUUCCGAGAUGUUGCUUGAUUUUCCUCGGUUUCUUCAUGUAGGAUAACAAGACUGUUGGGACUACUAUUCAACAACCAAUCGUUACCUGAUGCCGAAAAGGGGAUGCAGUUAUCUUGCUUUUGGCCGCUUAUCAAGCCAAAUAUAAGUCGAGCAUAUCCACGAUCCGGAUGAUUAGCAUGAGGAGUGAAUAAGAUGUAAAAGAACCCUGUGAUAUGUAGCAUAUCCACAAAUUGUGUAUAAAUUGUGUUGACGCGAUGUAUCAAGUAGAUGUACGUAGUGAUAAGCCCGUUACUCCUGCUAUCAUAGUAAGAUUGUGUACAAGUCUACUCGAGAUCUUAUCAGACAAUGUAGAGCUUCAUGUUUAUCGAUUCACCACCUUUUUUAA
This is a non-coding RNA of Punica granatum (pomegranate), 1564 nucleotides long. NCBI's taxonomy places the organism in Eukaryota, Viridiplantae, Streptophyta, Magnoliopsida, Myrtales, Lythraceae. The record is from RefSeq and is a predicted model, not a curated record.